GAUCAUGGCUCAGAUUGAACGCUGGCGGCAUGCUUUACACAUGCAAGUCGGACGGCAGCACAGAGAAGCUUGCUUCUUGGGUGGCGAGUGGCGAACGGGUGAGUAAUAUAUCGGAACGUACCGAGUAAUGGGGGGAUAACUAAUCGAAAGAUUAGCUAAUACCGCAUAUUCUCUGAGGAGGAAAGCCAGGGGACCUUCGGGCCUUGCGUUAUUCGAGCGGCCGAUAUCUGAUUAG
RNAcentral lists this ribosomal RNA (235 nucleotides) under uncultured bacterium. RNAcentral's name for it is "partial 16S ribosomal RNA". It matches the Rfam family "Bacterial small subunit ribosomal RNA", at positions 15 to 244 of the family's 1533-position model. The record is from RNAcentral.